CAGACAAUAUCUAAACGGAAUUGUACUGUGGAAGGGUUGACAGGUUGACAGGGUUUCGGGAAUUUGCUUAUAGUCCAUGAUUAUUUGAUAAUAAAAGUAAGGCUUUUGAGAAUACCGCUUGGAUCAUUUUGACCGAGACGGCGAA
Desulfitobacterium dichloroeliminans LMG P-21439 is the source of this 145-nucleotide non-coding RNA. The record is from Rfam. Lineage: Bacteria; Bacillati; Bacillota; Clostridia; Eubacteriales; Desulfitobacteriaceae.